This 569-nucleotide ribosomal RNA is filed under the name Mucor sp. QH50. RNAcentral's name for it is "eukaryotic LSU rRNA". The stretch from base 210 to 362 matches the Rfam family "5.8S ribosomal RNA". The record is from RNAcentral. Lineage: Eukaryota; Fungi; Mucoromycota; Mucoromycetes; Mucorales; Mucoraceae.
UUUGCUAGUUUUCUAGCGAAUGGUUCAUUCUUUUUUACUGUGAACUGUUUUAAUUUUUCAGCGUCUGAGGAAUGUCUUUUAGCCAUAGGGAUAGGCUACUAGAAUGUUAACCGAGCUGAAAGUCAGGCUUAGGCCUGGUAUCCUAUUAAUUAUUUACCAAAAGAAUUCAGUAUUAUAAUUGUAACAUAAGCGUAAAAAACUUAUAAAACAACUUUUAACAACGGAUCUCUUGGUUCUCGCAUCGAUGAAGAACGUAGCAAAGUGCGAUAACUAGUGUGAAUUGCAUAUUCAGUGAAUCAUCGAGUCUUUGAACGCAACUUGCGCUCAAUGGUAUUCCAUUGAGCACGCCUGUUUCAGUAUCAAAAACACCCCACAUUCAUAAUUUUGUUGUGAAUGGAAAUGAGAGUUUCGGCUUUAUUGCUGAAUUCUUUAAAAUUAUUAGGCCUGAACUAUUGUUCUUUCUGCCUGAACAUUUUUUUAAUAUAAAGGAAUGCUCUAGUAAAAAGACUAUCUCUGGGGCCUCCCAAAUAAAUCAUUCUUAAAUUUGAUCUGAAAUCAGGCGGGAUUAC